Molecule: ribosomal RNA, 512 nt
Filed under: Planaeschna asahinai
Lineage: Eukaryota; Metazoa; Arthropoda; Insecta; Odonata; Aeshnidae
Description: partial 16S rRNA
Rfam family: Bacterial large subunit ribosomal RNA
Source: RNAcentral
GUCUUCUUGUUAUAUUUAGGAAGUCUGGCCUGCCCAGUGAAAUAAUUUAACGGCCGCGGUAUAUUGACCGUGCAAAGGUAGCAUAAUCAUUAGUCUUUUAAUAGAGGGCUGGUAUGAAGGGUUUAACGAGGUGUUGACUGUCUCAUUUAAUUUGAAUAUUAGAAUUUAAUUUUUUAGUUAAAAAGCUAAAAUAUUGUUGGAAGACGAGAAGACCCUAUAGAGCUUUAUAUUUUUAUUAUUAAUUUAUCAUAGAUUAUUAUUAUUUAUUACUAAUAGAAAGUAUUUUGUUGGGGUGACAAAAAUAUAUAAAUAACUUUUUUAUUUUAUUUACAUUGAUAUAUGAAUGUUAGAUCCAGUCUUAUUGAUUGUUAGAUUAAGUUACCUUAGGGAUAACAGCGUAAUCCCUCUCCAGAGUUCAUAUUUACAGAGGGGCUUGCGACCUCGAUGUUGGAUUAAGAUAAUAAUUAGGUGCAGCCGCUUAAUUAAUAGGUCUGUUCGACCUUUAAAUUCUU